UACGUAGGGUGCGAGCGUUAAUCGGAAUUACUGGGCGUAAAGUGUGCGCAGGCGGCCGCGCAAGUCGAGUGUGAAAUCCCCGAGCUUAACUUGGGAAUUGCGCUCGAAACUACGUGGCUGGAGUGUGGCAGAGGAAGGUGGAAUUCCACGUGUAGCGGUGAAAUGCGUAGAUAUCGGGAGGAACACCUGUGGCGAAAGCGGCGCACUGGACCAUAACUGACGCUGAUGCGCGAAAGCUAGGGGAGCAAACAGG
This 253-nucleotide ribosomal RNA is filed under the name uncultured bacterium. Its description in RNAcentral is "partial 16S ribosomal RNA". It matches the Rfam family "Bacterial small subunit ribosomal RNA", at positions 524 to 776 of the family's 1533-position model. The record is from RNAcentral.